GACUUAAGAUGGCGGCGUUUGCACGGAGUGCAAUCACUGCGUCCUUACGGGGGUUGCAAGGCGUCCGAAGUAUGAGUCCACUAACAAAAGUCCAGAAACUCGCCAGUUAAUAGUAUUGUGUCUCUUCAAAAUAUCGGAGAAUAAUUUCUUUCUCGCUGAUCGCCUAACUUCUACUGACGAAGCUUGGAAGUUGCAGUGAGCCGAGAUCACGCCACUGCACUCCAGCCUGGGUGACAGGGUGAGACUCCAUCUCAAAAAGAAAAAAAACACAAAACAAAAAACCAAGGAGUAUGACUGCCGGUUCAUAUGGUAAGAGUAUAUUUAGUUUUGUGAGAAACCACGAAACUGUCUUCCAAAAUUGCUGUACUGUUGAUGCAUUCCCACCAGCCAUGAAUGAGAGUUCCUGUUGCUCCACAAUCUCAACAGCAUUUGGUGUUACCAGUGUUUUGGAUUUUCACCAUUCUAAUAGGUGUGCAAUGGGACUGUUUAAUUUGCAACUCCCUAAUGACAUACAAAGUUGAGCAUGUUUUCAUGUUCUUAUUUACCAUCUGUAUAUGUUCUCUGGCGAGAUUUCUGUUGACAUCUUUUGUCCAUUUUAAAAAUUGGGCUAUUUAUUGAGUUUUAAGUGCUGUCUGUAUGUUUUAGGUAACAGUCCUUUAUCAGUUAUGUGUUUUGCAGAUUUUUUUUGACUUAUCGUUUCAUAUUUUAAUGGUGUCUUUUGUGGAGUAAUUUUUUUUUAAUUUUAAUAACAUUUAGCUUGUCAAUGAUUUCUUUUAUGGAUUAUGCUUUUGGUAUUGUAUCUAGAAAGUAAUUGCCAUACCCAGUGAUGUCUAGAUUUUCUCAAAUGUUGGAGUUCUAUUUACAGUUUUGCAUUUUACAUUUAGGUCUGGCAUCCAUUUUGAAUUAAUAUUUGUGAAGGGUGUAAAGUUUGUAUUAGAUUCAUUUUUUGGCAUUUGGAUAUUCAGCUAUUCCAACACUAUUUGUUGCUCCA
Long non-coding RNA from Homo sapiens (human), 991 nucleotides. Ensembl annotates it as JPX transcript, XIST activator. Its record names the gene JPX. NCBI's taxonomy places the organism in Eukaryota, Metazoa, Chordata, Mammalia, Primates, Hominidae. The record is from Ensembl.